GACGUAGGGGGCGAGCGUUGUCCGGAUUUAUUGGGCGUAAAGCGCGCGUAGGCGGCUGCGCAAGUCGGUUGUGAAACCCCGGGGCUCAACCCCGGAACUGCAUCCGAUACUGCGUGGCUAGAGGUAGGUAGGGGAGAUCGGAAUUCCUGGUGUAGCGGUGGAAUGCGUAGAGAUCGGGAAGAACAUCGGUGGCGAAGGCGGUCUGCUGGGCCGUUGCUGACGCUGAGGCGCGACAGCGUGGGGAGCAAACAGG
This 253-nucleotide ribosomal RNA is filed under the name uncultured bacterium. RNAcentral describes it as "partial 16S ribosomal RNA". It matches the Rfam family "Bacterial small subunit ribosomal RNA", at positions 524 to 776 of the family's 1533-position model. The record is from RNAcentral.